GCAGGGGUCAUUCUCCAGUCAAGUCGCACGACGAGAAGAGACGGGAGGAGGGAGCCAGCCGCAUCCUAGCUGGUCUGACGAUUGGCCAUACGUCUGUCGCUGCGCCAGUCAACGACACGUCACAGGAAGGGAGAUGGCGGCCGCCUCCCUCCUUCCUUCGACCUCUCUGUUUUCCCGCCCUUCCCUUCUGCCCCGCGUAAGAGGAGACCUAGUGGGACGGGAGAAAGAAAAGCACCAUGAGGAUGACCGCCGCCUCCUGGCUCAGCCACGCUCAGUCAGACCGCCCCCGCUCCCCCAACAGAAUCCACCGGCCUGACAGCAGCCUCGCGCGUCCAGCCACGAGACACUUCAAAGCCUCCGGGCAGUAACAGAGAAGGCUGGUCCCUGAGUAGUUCCCAGAGGAGGCAGUCGCAACUGCAGUCCAACCUCUCAUGAUCUCAAAAGGUGAUGGGGCUCAUAGCGAAGGUGGUAAGCAGUUUCAUGUAGACAUUAAACAACAUCAGAGACAACAUGGAGCCCUGAGAGACACCAUACCAAAGUUCAGAUUUUGUAGAACAAUAGUCUCGGAAGGACACAAGCUGGAAUCUGUAACCACUACAAUGCAGUGCGUCCUACCCCCAACCUCCUCAGACACUCCAGAAGGAUACUAUGGUCGACAGUAUUGAAAGCUUCCAAGAGGUCCAAAAGGACCAACAGAGUCACACUUCCUCUGUCAAUUCCCAAUACCUGUUGUUUAAAUUUUUUUUAAAGCUUUCAAGCAACCUUCAAGAAGCUGCUGCCAAUUUGUGAAGACAAUACUAAGCUAGAUUGACCAAUGGUCUAAUUCAGUAUAUGGCAGCUUCCUAUGUUCCACUGUCCAAAAAGCAGUCAAAAUGAAUAGAAGAAAUGAAGGUGUGUAAUGAAUCUUCAUAGGGAUUCACUGAGGGAAAGUUAUUAUACACCAAAGAAUGCAAACACUUGAAAAAUAGUGACCACACAUUUUGCUCCAUAACUCCACUUAUAGAAGGGCUAGAGCUUAGUUUUUUUUUAAAAAUGAAAGCUGGGAAUCUGGGGAUUAAUAGGAGACACCUGAAUCUCAAAUCGAUUCGAAUCAGGCGCAAUUCGAUUUGGAUCCGAAUCUAGCCAAUGGACCACAGGGGUGGUUUGUUUUGUCUCCAAAUCAGCUAGAUUCGGGUACAAAUCGAUUUGUACCCGAAUCAGCUUGCACAUCUCUACAAAAAACAGCCAGACAGUUCAUAUUGGAACUGUGGAGGUUUGUUUGUUUUAACUCUUUCCCCUUCUUUCAUUUUCUCACCAAAAUCCACCUUCCCAG
Molecule: long non-coding RNA, 1312 nt
Organism: Hemicordylus capensis (graceful crag lizard)
Lineage: Eukaryota; Metazoa; Chordata; Lepidosauria; Squamata; Cordylidae
Exons: 3
Source: RefSeq, a predicted model, not a curated record